This 387-nucleotide ribosomal RNA is filed under the name uncultured bacterium. Its description in RNAcentral is "bacterial SSU rRNA". It matches the Rfam family "Bacterial small subunit ribosomal RNA", at positions 390 to 769 of the family's 1533-position model. The record is from RNAcentral.
AGCCAUACCGCGUGGGUGAAGAAGGCCUUCGGGUUGUAAAGCCCUUUUGUUGGGAAAGAAAUCCAGCUGGCUAAUACCCGGUUGGGAUGACGGUACCCAAAGAAUAAGCACCGGCUAACUUCGUGCCAGCAGCCGCGGUAAUACGAAGGGUGCAAGCGUUACUCGGAAUUACUGGGCGUAAAGCGUGCGUAGGUGGUCGUUUAAGUCCGUUGUGAAAGCCCUGGGCUCAACCUGGGAACUGCAGUGGAUACUGGGCGACUAGAGUGUGGUAGAGGGUAGCGGAAUUCCUGGUGUAGCAGUGAAAUGCGUAGAGAUCAGGAGGAACAUCCAUGGCGAAGGCAGCUACCUGGACCAACACUGACACUGAGGCACGAAAGCGUGGGGAGC